UGGACUCGUAUCAAGGAAACAGUGUCU
Molecule: non-coding RNA, 27 nt
Filed under: Mus musculus (house mouse)
Lineage: Eukaryota; Metazoa; Chordata; Mammalia; Rodentia; Muridae
Source: RNAcentral